RNAcentral lists this ribosomal RNA (472 nucleotides) under uncultured bacterium. RNAcentral describes it as "bacterial SSU rRNA". It matches the Rfam family "Bacterial small subunit ribosomal RNA", at positions 355 to 825 of the family's 1533-position model. The record is from RNAcentral.
UGGGGAAUUUUGGACAAUGGGCGCAAGCCUGAUCCAGCAAUGCCGCGUGCAGGAUGAAGGCCUUCGGGUUGUAAACUGCUUUUGUACGGAACGAAACGGCGAACUCUAAUAAAGUUUGCUAAUGACGGUACCGUAAGAAUAAGCACCGGCUAACUACGUGCCAGCAGCCGCGGUAAUACGUAGGGUGCAAGCGUUAAUCGGAAUUACUGGGCGUAAAGCGUGCGCAGGCGGUUAUAUAAGACAGAUGUGAAAUCCCCGGGCUCAACCUGGGACCUGCAUUUGUGACUGUAUAGCUAGAGUACGGUAGAGGGGGAUGGAAUUCCGCGUGUAGCAGUGAAAUGCGUAGAUAUGCGGAGGAACACCGAUGGCGAAGGCAAUCCCCUGGACCUGUACUGACGCUCAUGCACGAAAGCGUGGGGAGCAAACAGGAUUAGAUACCCUAGUAGUCCCUGAGCGGGCUGGCAAGGCGCAU